This 72-nucleotide transfer RNA is filed under the name Schizothecium vesticola. It matches the Rfam family "tRNA". From Rfam's summary of the family: Transfer RNA (tRNA) molecules are approximately 80 nucleotides in length. Their secondary structure includes four short double-helical elements and three loops (D, anti-codon, and T loops). The record is from Rfam by way of RNAcentral. Lineage: Eukaryota; Fungi; Ascomycota; Sordariomycetes; Sordariales; Schizotheciaceae.
GGUCCGCUGGCUCAAUGGCAGAGCGUCUGGCUACGAACCAGGAGGUUCCAGGUUCCACGCCUGGUUGGAUCG